AGGACAUUGAAAGCCUUUUCAAAGAUUUUAUUUUGAAUCAUGUGUGCGUGUGUCAGUGGGGUGGGAGUAUGUACACCUGAGCACCCAUGCCCUGGCGUUGGAGUUCCGGGAGGUGGUGAUUCCCCUUAGAGAGCGGUGGGUGCUCUUAAAGCCAGCUCCAUCUCCCAAUACCCUUUAGAAAUUUUAUAACAAGUAUAUUUUACAGUGCUAGGAACUAAUUGUCUUAUUACAGAUUGCUUUCUUUCAUGAGCUUAUAGCCCAGACUCUAGUAUUAUCUGUUAUUUUAUAAUGAGAGUACAAAUUUCCACGGUCUUUGCGCAUGUCUCCCUGGACCGAGGUGGAUUUGCAUAUACCCCCUGAGUAUGUGACCUCUUCAGAUUGCCUUUAAAAAAUAGUUUUCUUAAAAAAAAAGAAAAGAAAGAUUGAGCCCCAGCAUAAUGAAGAGUUGGGGGAGGAGAUAAAGAAAAUUUACGAGGUAAUGUUUCGCAUUCCUUUCGUGACUGUGGAAGGUGCUGGCCGUCUCUGCCCUGGGCGUUUUUAAAUCGGCUUGCCUCUGCGGCUGGAGGGAGGGGAGCUUGUCGGACUGAAGUGCCACCUGGGCUUGGGGACAGUGAGGGGCGGCUGGUGACAAAGGACCAGGUACGGCGUUCGGUGGGGGUGAUCCUUGCAGAAGGCAGCGACGCCGCGGGGGCAUGCAGCCUAGGAGGCACAAAGACCCGUGGCCAAGGCCAGGGGCAGGAUCCCCAACAUCAGGGGCCUUCUGUUAGGGGCCCCGAAGCCCCAGGAGACUUUUAAAACUACUUCUUCAAGAAAAGUGAAGGCAGGGGUCGUUGAGCACGCUAGUAAUACCGCCUCUCUAAAGGCAGAAGAUCAUGAGUUCAAGGUCAUCCUCCACCAGGUAGACUUUGAGGCCAGUCUUGGCUUUGUCAGGGGCUAUCCCCUUUCUGACAAAAUAUGAAUCAACGCCUUGGCUAAUUCAGCACUUUUGCUGGAGUUUUCAGGGGCCACAGAGCCUCCCCUUGGUUAUCAACUUGUGGGGGGGGGGUAUGGAUGGAUGACACCUCUGCUGAAGAACUGCCUCAGGAGAUGGGUUCUUGAUUGUGAAUUCAUGGGCGGGGUGGGGGCCGCCCACUAUGGGCCUGGGCUGUAUAAGGUAGCUGAAUGAGAGACCAAGAGCCAGAGCCCCAUGCAGCUUUCCUCCCGGGUUCCUGCCUUGGCUCCAUUUUGAAUUCCUUCACUGAUUUCCCUCCAUGAUUGGCUAUGAUUCAGAACCAUAUGUAAGCCCGAUAAACCAAAUUAACCAAGUUAAUUUUGGUCCUUUUUAUUACAGCAACAGAGAAGCAAUCUAGAAUACGCCCCUCUCCAUAGUACCUCAGAUACUUCUAGCCUCAACUGAGACCUCUCCACGUUCCUUAAGUAUUGCGGUUUAAUAAUUCUGCCUGACUUUCUAUCUGAGGGCCACUCUUUGUUUUGCAAAGUCAAACUCAAAACCAUGGAGAGGAAGUCUAGGAAAUGAUGUGACCAGGCUUCCAAGAGCAGCAGCUAGGGUUUCAUUAAAUCAUUCAAAGCCCCAGCAAGCACCCCUUCUGCCCACCCUGCACAGAUCUCAGAAUACUCUUAACCUCCCCAGGUUUCUGCUCUAUCUUACUCCCGAGCGGUGACUACCGAGCACCAAGCCAAUGCUUUCACACAGAAAGUGUACAACACAGACCCCAGCUUGCCUGGCAGGGAGUGACAAAGACGUCAUCAUCCCCAUGUUCCCUGUCCCUCAACUCUGCAUGCCAGAGUUGAAUGUCCUCACCCCCGCUCUCUGAAGUCUCAUUGCCACCUGCAGACACCAGCCACCCUUUGGUCCCAUUCCCUUCCUGUACAAACUGGGGCUGUCUACAGUGUUGAUUUUAUGUAUAGAACAUGUUAGAAUUCCAGAAAAAGUGUUCUUGGGAAAGAAUGAGACAUGUUAAUUCCCCCACCACCUCCGUUGAGAUCGGGGUCUCGUAUCCUGAGAGUGAUCAUCUCUUUUUAAAUUACAAGCAUUUUUUUUUUUUUUUUUUUUAGAUUUAAAGAUGAUGCAUAUGGGUCUCUUUUCUGCUAGUUGGAGUUUUGAUCUUGGUCUUUCCUAGGGCUAAGCAAUUUUGUUUGUAACAUACUUUCGAGGCUUCUACCCAUCACUGCAAAGCCAUCAGAGAUGCUGUAUCCAAGUGUGAGCCCAGGAUCUUCUCACAUGUCCUAUUGAAGAAGAUUCCUAAUGGGUCAGAAGUCCCACACUCAAAAAUGGCAGCCAAGGUUCUGAGAACGCUGACCCCAACCCUGGGGCCGAGAAGUUUCGUUCCCUUUGACCAGAACAGAAGUGAAAGAAUCUGUGGGAGAUUCAAAGUGAAUUCUCAGGAGAAGGCUCCCGGCAUUGCUGUGGCUACAGAAUGAUCAUCUCAUAGCAAGGAUGGACAGAUUCAUGAGGAGUGAAACAAACAAACAAAAAAUAACAAAACCUAAGACGUCUUCACGGGAAUCAGCAUGAAGAAAAUAGUGGGCCUUUCAGCUGCAUCUGCGCUUUCUGCCUAAAUCAUGGGUAGAUCUUUCUGAGAAUGCCAGGGUAGGGGGAAGAAAUAAGACAGUCAGUUUAGGCCUAAGCCAUACACUGACCUUGAUGCCGAUAAUGCUGGGCAGCAGACGUGGGAGCUAUCCUGUGAGAUUAACGCGCACACCAGUCGUUUAGAAUAAUCUGUGCAUGAGUCUCUGGUACACAGAGCCUCUCUCAUUUCUCUGGUGCGGGGAUCUCGUCCACAUUGUCCCCAGUGAUCUGUACGAAAUGUGAAGUUUGAAUGCAUGGGACUUCAUUAUAUCUUCAUGUUCCAAUUUGACCCAAAGAAGCACAGGUGAGUCUCAAGUAUUCUAUGAGUCUCAGAAGCCUCAAGUUUGAGAUAAAGACAAGAACUUGGAAGAAUGAGUAGAAUUUGGGGUAGUUUAGUUAAAAGGUAAUGAUUAUAGUAGACCAUUGGAUUUUCGAGGCUGGAGAAAUGUGUGGUAAAGGCAAUUGUUAUUUUAUCUCAUCUCGUUAUCUUAAUUUGUAGUAAUAAAUGUACAGAAAUGAUUCAAAAUAGAAAAAUAUGUAUAUGAA
This is a long non-coding RNA of Alexandromys fortis (reed vole), 3115 nucleotides long. RefSeq lists it as uncharacterized. The transcript is spliced from 2 exons. The record is from RefSeq and is a predicted model, not a curated record. Lineage: Eukaryota; Metazoa; Chordata; Mammalia; Rodentia; Cricetidae.